This 433-nucleotide ribosomal RNA is filed under the name uncultured bacterium. Its description in RNAcentral is "partial 16S ribosomal RNA". It matches the Rfam family "Bacterial small subunit ribosomal RNA", at positions 29 to 507 of the family's 1533-position model. The record is from RNAcentral.
AACGAACGCUGGCGGCAUGCCUAACGCAUGCAAGUCGAACGAGACCUUCGGAUCUAGUGGCGCACGGGUGCGUAACGCGUGGGAACCUGCCCUUAGGUUCGGAAUAACUCCCCGAAAGGGGUGCUAAUACCGGAUAAUGUCUUCGGACCAAAGAUUUAUCGCCUUUGGAUGGGCCCGCGUUGGAUUAGCUAGUUGGUAGGGUAAAAGCCUACCAAGGCGACGAUCCAUAGCUGGUCUGAGAGGAUGAUCAGCCACACUGGGACUGAGACACGGCCCAGACUCCUACGGGAGGCAGCAGUGGGGAAUAUUGGACAAUGGGCGAAAGCCUGAUCCAGCAAUGCCGCGUGAGUGAUGAAGGCCUUAGGGUUGUAAAGCUCUUUUACCCGGGAUGAUAAUGACAGUACCGGGAGAAUAAGCUCCGGCUAACUCCGUG